This 497-nucleotide ribosomal RNA is filed under the name uncultured bacterium. RNAcentral's name for it is "partial 16S ribosomal RNA". It matches the Rfam family "Bacterial small subunit ribosomal RNA", at positions 28 to 507 of the family's 1533-position model. The record is from RNAcentral.
GAUGAACGCUGGCGGCGUGCCUAAUACAUGCGAGUCGAGCGAACGGACGAGAAGCUUGCGUCUCUGAUGUUAGCGGCGGACGGGUGAGUAACACGUGGAUAACCUACCUAUAAGACUGGGAUAACUUCGGGAAACCGGAGCUAAUACCGGAUAAUAUUUUGAACCGCAUGGUUCAAAAGUGAAAGACGGUCUUGCUGUCACUUAUAGAUGGAUCCGCGCUGCAUUAGCUAGUUGGUAAGGUAACGGCUUACCAAGGCAACGAUGCAUAGCCGACCUGAGAGGGUGAUCGGCCACACUGGAACUGAGACACGGUCCAGACUCCUACGGGAGGCAGCAGUAGGGAAUCUUCCGCAAUGGGCGAAAGCCUGACGGAGCAACGCCGCGUGAGUGAUGAAGGUCUUCGGAUCGUAAAACUCUGUUAUUAGGGAAGAACAUAUGUGUAAGUAACUGUGCACAUCUUGACGGUACCUAAUCAGAAAGCCACGGCUAACUACGUG